AUAAUUUUUUAGAUUCUUCUCUGUGCCGGGUGACUUGCUCAUACUCUACGCUUUCUACUGAGAAUUAUUGGGAAGAUUGAGAAAAUUAUGACUUGCAUAUUCUUUUAAAAAAGAUUGAGUUAUUAUAUAUAAGUACAUUGUAGCUGUCUUCUGACACACCAGGAGAGGGCAUCAGAUCCCAUUACAGAUGGUUGUGAGCCACCGUGUGGUUUCUGGGAUUUGAACACAGGACCUCUGGAAGAGCAGUCAGUGCUCUUAACCGCUGAGCCAUCUCUCCAGCCGUAUUAUUUUUACUAGUAAUUAAAUGGGAAGUUGCUAGGUUAUAGCUUCUGUAGAUAUCAUGUCUGGAUAAAUAGGAAAACACUUGCUAUUUUGUCUUCUCGAGGCUGGCUGUUGGUGCAAGGCAGUCAUGGUACACAGCUGGUUGGCCUCCAGCCAGGAAAGGACCUCACUGCAUUUAUCCAGUAUUUUCUUUUUAUCAGACUCGCUGAUCUUGUCCUUCAGACCCUCAUCGCCUACAGCGCUCUUCAUGUUAAAGGCAUACGAUUCUAAGGCAUUUUUGGCAGCGAUCUUCUCCCUCUGGCCCUCGUCCUCGGCCUUGUACCGCUCGGCCUCUUGCACCAUGCGCUCGAUCUCCUCCUUGCUCAAGCGGCCCUUGUCGUUGGUGAUGGUGAUCUUGUUGGCCUUGCCGGUGCUCUUGUCCAUGGCUGUGACGUUGAGAAUCCCGUUGGCGUCGAUGUCGAAGGUCACCUCGAUCUGGGGCACACCCCUAGGUGC
This 777-nucleotide long non-coding RNA is filed under the name Rattus norvegicus (Norway rat). RNAcentral's name for it is "long non-coding RNA NONRATT032819". The record is from RNAcentral. Lineage: Eukaryota; Metazoa; Chordata; Mammalia; Rodentia; Muridae.